This 750-nucleotide ribosomal RNA is filed under the name uncultured bacterium. Its description in RNAcentral is "bacterial SSU rRNA". It matches the Rfam family "Bacterial small subunit ribosomal RNA", at positions 8 to 794 of the family's 1533-position model. The record is from RNAcentral.
AGAGUUUGAUCCUGGCUCAGGAUGAACGCUGGCGGCGUGCCUAAUACAUGCAAGUCGAGCGGUAAGGCUCCUUCGGGAGUACACGAGCGGCGGACGGCUGAGUAACACGUAGGAACGUACCCCAAACUGAGGGAUAAGCACCAGAAAUGGUGUCUAAUACCGCAUGUGAUCUCCGGAUUAAAGCUACGGCGGUUUGGGAACGGCCUGCGCACGAUUAGAUAGUUGGUGAGGUAAUGGCUCACCAAGUCGACGAUCGUUAGCUGGUCUGAGAGGAUGAUCAGCCAGACUGGGACUGAGAACGGCCCAGACUCCUACGGGAGGCAGCAGUAGGGAAUUUUCCACAAUGGACGAAAGUCUGAUGGAGCAACGCCGCGUGCAGGAUGAAUGCCUUCGGGUUGUAAACUGCUUUUAUCUGUGACGAAUAUGACGGUAGCAGAUGAAUAAGGAUCGGCUAACUCCGUGCCAGCAGCCGCGGUCAUACGGAGGAUCCAAGCGUUAUCCGGAAUUACUGGGCGUAAAGAGUUGCGUAGGUGGCACUGUGUGUCUGUAGUGAAAGCGUGUGGCUCAACCAUAUAUACAUUACAGAAACUGCAGAGCUAGAGGGCGAGAGAGGUUACUAGAAUUCCUAGUGUAGGAGUGAAAUCCGUAGAUAUUAGGAGGAAUACCGAUGGCGUANGCAGGUAACUGGCUCGUCCCUGACACUAAGGCACGAAAGCGUGGGGAGCAAACGGGAUUAGAUACCCCGGUAGU